CCUACGGGUGACUGCAGUGGGGGAUAUUGCACAAUGGGGGGAACCCUGAUGCAGCGACGCCGCGUGGGUGAAGGAGUGCUUCGGCAUGUAAAGCCCUAUCGGCAGGGAAGAAGCAAGACGGUACCUGACUAAGAAGCCACGGCUAACUACGUGCCAGCAGCCGCGGUAAUACGUAGGGGGCGCGCGUUAUCCGGAUCCACUGGGUGUAAAGGGCGUGUAGGCGGGACUGCAAGGCAGAUGUGAAAACCAAGGGCUCAACCUGUUGCCUGUAUUUGAAACUGUAGUUCUUGAGUACUGGGGAGGCAGACGGAAUGCCUAGUGUAGCGGUGAAAUGCGUAGAUAUUAGGAGGAACACCAGUGGCGAAGGCGGUCUGCUGGACAGCAACUGACGCUGAGGCGCGAAAGCGUGGGGAGCGAACAGGAUUAGAUACCCUUGUAGUC
This 441-nucleotide ribosomal RNA is filed under the name uncultured bacterium. RNAcentral's name for it is "partial 16S ribosomal RNA". It matches the Rfam family "Bacterial small subunit ribosomal RNA", at positions 338 to 795 of the family's 1533-position model. The record is from RNAcentral.